GAGUUUGAUCGUGGCUCAGGAUGAACGCUGGCGGCGUGCUUAACACAUGCAAGUCGAACGGGGGCAGGAGGAAACCUAGUGAAUCCUGCCCUAGUGGCGGACGGGUGAGUAACGCGUGGGCAACCUGCCGCAUACCGGGGGGAUAACACUUAGAAAUAGGUGCUAAUACCGCAUAAGCGCACAGAGCCGCAUGGCUUGGUGUGAAAAACUCCGGUGGUAUGCGAUGGGCCCGCGUCUGAUUAGCUUGUUGGCGGGGCGACGC
This 262-nucleotide ribosomal RNA is filed under the name uncultured microorganism. Its description in RNAcentral is "partial 16S ribosomal RNA". It matches the Rfam family "Bacterial small subunit ribosomal RNA", at positions 9 to 263 of the family's 1533-position model. The record is from RNAcentral.